GAGGAAGAUAUAAUUACCAUAUCAACAGUCAGGAGUAAUGGAGCUGGUACAGUUGGGUUUCUAUCAAACUUACGGAGGACUAACGUGGCUCUAACAAGGGCCAAGCAUUGCUUAUGGAUUGUGGGGAAUGGAACCACUCUGUUCAACAGCAAUUCCGUUUGGCAAAAGAUUGUCAAGGACACAAGGGAUAGAGGUUGUUUUUUAAUGCCACUGAUGAGAAGGAGUUGCUGAAUGCAAUUUUCAAGCCUGCUGUUGAGUAUCCUCACGCGGACAAUUUAGCUGGCGAGGAGACAAGGCAACGAUUGAGUACCAGGAUGAGUCUAUUCAAUGUCGCUAAGGCAAUAGUUACAAGAUCCUAGAAGAUAACCCGUGGCAGCUCUACUCUACAAUAAGGGUGAUAAAGAUGUCUCGCCCAAUGGAAGAUAUCAUAUUUAGACAUGAUCAAGGUAGCAAGAUGUUGACCCCAUGGGUCCUUUUGGUGGAAUAAUGAUAGAGUGCGGCACCAAUCAACCUAUUGAGAAAGUGCUUGCAGUUGAAGAUGCAAUAAGUCUAAUGCUUGGAUUUUUUAACAUAGAUGCUGCAUAGCUUUAGCCUUAUUGAUGCUUGAGUUGCUACCACUGAAGAUCUUUUGAACUACAGUUUUCACAAGCACACAUUAUAUUUUUCCUUCAUAACGACUGAUGUAAGAAGGGCAGGCUUGGUGUAGUGGUGAGAGUUGUCUCACUGAGUCACCAGGCCAUGGGUUCGAAACAGCCUUAUGGGGGGUCUGCCCUUUGUUAUUCAUAACGACUAAUGUAGUUAUGUGUGUUGUC
Molecule: long non-coding RNA, 812 nt
Organism: Zea mays
Lineage: Eukaryota; Viridiplantae; Streptophyta; Magnoliopsida; Poales; Poaceae
Exons: 4
Source: RefSeq, a predicted model, not a curated record